This 263-nucleotide ribosomal RNA is filed under the name uncultured bacterium. RNAcentral's name for it is "partial 16S ribosomal RNA". It matches the Rfam family "Bacterial small subunit ribosomal RNA", at positions 524 to 789 of the family's 1533-position model. The record is from RNAcentral.
UACGUAGGGGGCAAGCGUUGUCCGGAAUUAUUGGGCGUAAAGGGCGCGUAGGCGGGUAUUUAAGUCCGGUGUGAAAGAUCAGGGCUCAACCCUGAGAGUGCAUCGGAAACUGGGUAUCUUGAGGACAGGAGAGGAAAGUGGAAUUCCACGUGUAGCGGUGAAAUGCGUAGAUAUGUGGAGGAACACCAGUGGCGAAGGCGACUUUCUGGACUGUAACUGACGCUGAGGCGCGAAAGCGUGGGGAGCAAACAGGGUAUAACCGG